Long non-coding RNA from Temnothorax curvispinosus, 1676 nucleotides. RefSeq lists it as uncharacterized. NCBI's taxonomy places the organism in Eukaryota, Metazoa, Arthropoda, Insecta, Hymenoptera, Formicidae. The record is from RefSeq and is a predicted model, not a curated record. The transcript has 4 exons.
UUAUAGUUUAUCAACACGGGAAACGUGCUUAACCUAUUUUCAAUUUAUUUGUCAGAUUAGCAUAGCAUUGUACUACGACGCAGUUUACGAAUAUUCCGAACCGAGAAUAUUACGAACAGAAACCUCAACGGAGUAAAGUGAAUAAUACCGUAUACCAUAGAGAAGACAGUAAACGAAGUAAAUAUAUGCAGAGAAGUCGCGGACGGCUUGCGUAUAUAUUUCGAUUUCGCAUAUUACCUCAUCUCCUGUUAUAUAGUGCUUCCUGUUGAACCGGUAAAAUAUAACAAUCACCCCACCACCACCACCAUCAUCAUUAACCGUCGUUUAUAAAAAAGAGGCCGCAAGAGGACGAGCGACAAAUGAUAUUGACUGGUUUAGUCGUAAUGGCGAAGCUCGCCGAAGAGCCGCUGGAAACGGAAGACAUUCUAACGAUUUGUUGGGAGCAGAGUCAACACAAGUACACAGAGAGAAGAUUACUAGCUGUUGAAUAUUGCUCCUACAUACCAAUAUCAGCUGCUGUUAGAAACUCGUUGAUGCUGUCAAUGCGCUUCCGGAGUAGUACUACCGGAACUGAGGCAUCUCAAAACGUUGGUAAAUCAAUGCCUACCUCAGUAAGAAGAUGCAGUGCGUUUCUUGCUCAGAGAAGCGGAGUGCAGGCAGUAUUUACUGAAUGAAGCCAAUAGAUAGGACACUCGACGAGCUUCGGGUUUUCCCUAUCGAUGACGACGGUGAAUGUCUGCCAAGGAUAUGCGCCAGAAGAUGAACAAGAUCUCUUCAACAGAAAAUUGAAUCGCCCAGCAUGUCGAGUAUUUUCCGCAAGAAGUAAACUCCCCUUUGUGUCUUAUAGCAAGAAAUUCUGUGUGAGAAAAUCGAGUAUCACGUCGGCAAGAGAUUCGCGAGUGCAAGCACAAAAAAUUGUUGUUAGGCAUAAAUGUAUAAUGUUGUUUCAACGAAUGUUAACUUAUUUUUUUAUCGCGCUAGCUCUAUGAGUGACGUGUAAAUUAUUUUGUUUAAAUAUUAACACGGUCUGAGGAGUUUAGAGAUGAGAAAAGACGAAUGUUUUUUCACGUUUUGUAAAAUUCGGAUGUCCAUUGUGUCUGCACUCUCGCGGCGUUUUGAAUUUACUCUUUUUCUUUUCUUUUACCUAAAGAGGAUCAUGAGAAAGUGAGAAAAUUCCAAACGCUGCGAUUAACAGUAAUUAAUGUUUAAUUUCGAAGUCUGUCACUUUACAUAGUAAUAAACAAACGUCAUAGAUCAUAUAUCAUAUCAAAUUGUAUAUCGCAUAUCCGCAUAUACAUAUAUAUAUAAUACACAAGUGUUUUCCUCGUAGAAUAAUUUACAAAAUCAGACUGUCUAGAAAUACAGUUGCGUCCUGUUCCUGCUCGGUUCUGUUUUCCGUUAUUUUUUUCUUUUUUUUUUUAUAUAAUCACAGCUUAUCCUGAUACGUAAAAAAACAUUGCUAUUGUAUUUUCCUUUUUCCGUUCGAUAAUUAAUCGACACAAUCAGAGAGUUUCUCUGAGACAUUCGUAAACUGCGAUAUGAGAAUUAAGGUUUCUCUGGGAUAUUCGUAAACUGCGUCGUAGUGAAAUGCUGUGCCAGAGAUUCUGGAAUAUUUAUCACAGUAGGUUGCGCCGGAAGUAUAAGCUGAAAUAAAUAUCAGUGAUAUAUUUGUAUGA